AAAACAAGUAGCUUGAUAAUGCCGAUCAGUCCACAUGUGUUUUGGUUUUGUUGUUCUAUCUGAAGCCAUCUCCUCAUUUCCAGCCCUUUGAGCGGCAAUAUGACUCACUGACUCAUGCUUUCGACCUCCAGCGUUGCACAGCUAGUUCCCAACACAAAGGCCCCCGGACCAGAUAAAGGAUCACUAUAACACUUCUCUGUUCCAUUGAAUGAAACCCCUUUGGACAGCUAAUACCCCAGAGAAGAUGAAAACGUACAGGCUGGCUCCAUUAUUGAUACAGGUCUGUGCUAGUGGAAGAAGUGGAUGCUAAUUGUAUUAUACGCCACAAAGUACUGCACUGCAUAAACUGAAAUCGAGCCAAGAUGCGCUGUUUGCAGUGCUGUCCCUGAUCUGAACUGAGCCUGGUGGGAAUGACAAAAGCUCGGGGAGAGAGGAGGGGUAGAGAUAUACUGGCUGUCGCCUUACAAGACCCUGGCACCCCAUCGCAGUCCUGCCCUUUUCCAUCUGACAACUUCAUUAAUUUUCUGUCAUGGUGGCUGUGGUUGAUUUUCAGCAGAUAGGUUCGACAACAAUAGCUGACAAAACUGGAUGUAAGAUGGAUGCCUGGUAGUUGAGUUGCGAGUUGGUUCUUUGUAUGAGCACAGAGAAGCGCAAAGGUCCCAUUGCACCUGCUCAAAUCCACUGCUUCGGGAAACUAGGAAGAAAGUCUUUGUUAGAAAACCUGUCACGAUAAUUACUAUAUUGACUUAUUGCUCAGUAUAUGAAAGAUGGGAGAAUAUUUUUGGAGGGUCAGUAUUGAUCAUGUGUACAUUUUCUUUGCACUACUUGGAAGUUUUUGGUUAUUUUUUUGGCCGUAUAAUAAGAUUUAGAGGUGCACUGUUUAACUUUUUGGUUGGGGGUCCAUCACCUGCUGGUUUCUAUGAAUAUUUCAUUGCUCGAGCGUUACAAAUGUUCCACAAUAUAACAUUAAACAAAUGUAUCUUAUAUUUAUUCAAUAAGAGGGUUUCGGUAACGUGAUCAUGAUGAUGCACGAAUUUCAGGUGGAGGGCAGGAAGUGAAGACUAACACGACAAACACAGCUUUGGAGAAUACAGAUAUGGAGAAGAGUUCUUAUUGUAAGGAUUUAGAGCCAGUAGCAAGGCAAAGGUGCGAGCAGUUAAUUGACAAAUAUAUUGGACGUGACCCCAUCUUAUGAAAAUGAGUGAAGUAAAAGAUUUGCCAACAAUCAAGGCAGUGGAUAUCACGAACUACCUAGUUCUACAGACAUCGUUCUACACCAGACAACAGAUGAAGGUGUACAAAAGUUUGGAGGCAUAUAACUUUUUUUGUCAGUGGAUGGGUCCACAACCUUGGUGCGAAACACCUUCAUGAUGAUGAUCGUUUGGUCUUCGCCAGGGUGAGUGUUUCUCUUAUUUUAUGUGUAUAGACUGUUAUGGAAAAAACUGCAGUGCAUCAGCAGUAACCUCUAUCUGAACUAUUUAAUGUCAACAAAUGUCGUUAGCCGUUAGUCGUUAAUGUUUCGUUAAUGUUUAGGUAAACCACAAAAAACAAUUUAGCUUUGUAACAUACCUUUGACGAAGUGGUCACUGCAGACACGAGCAUUUGCGGAUUCUGCUCCUCCUGACCGCAAAUGUAGGUUUGUAAUCCACUUUUUAUGGUUGUUCUGUCAACUUUUCCCAUUUCUGACCUUUGUGGAUGACUCUCUUCGGUACUCUAAAAAAAACGCUUUUCCUUCUCUCGGUUAGAAAGAUUGGCACAGCCGUAAACUACACAACACAUAGACAUUUUCCAGACAAAGACGCAACAGUGUUUCACAAGCUUCCUCCAGUCAGUUCACUUCCUGCCCUCCAUCUGAUUUUGCGCACUGACAACCGUAGCCCUGUGACGUCACGUGAAACCCAGCUAUUACUGGAGAAAUACUUAGAAAAACACACAUUCUGACUGUGAACGGGGUUGCCGUGACUUGGUAUGGUAACUUGGUCUGGUUGGGUCUUCAUGAAGAUAAAAAUGUUUAAUCCCAUACUGUGAAACAUUUCAGACAAAGUAAUAAUAAAGCAUUUGAAGGGCCCUCCAAAAGAAAAGUUUCACAAUGCAGUUUUGAUUCAGGUCAUUUUA
This is a long non-coding RNA of Boleophthalmus pectinirostris (great blue-spotted mudskipper), 2115 nucleotides long. RefSeq lists it as uncharacterized. The transcript is spliced from 3 exons. The record is from RefSeq and is a predicted model, not a curated record. NCBI's taxonomy places the organism in Eukaryota, Metazoa, Chordata, Actinopteri, Gobiiformes, Gobiidae.